This is a long non-coding RNA of Triticum aestivum (bread wheat), 377 nucleotides long. RefSeq lists it as uncharacterized. Lineage: Eukaryota; Viridiplantae; Streptophyta; Magnoliopsida; Poales; Poaceae. The transcript has 3 exons. The record is from RefSeq and is a predicted model, not a curated record.
CCCAGUGAGCAAAUAGGGGAUGCAAAGGCUCUGCUGGACAUUACAACCACCUUGGUAAAAUAUGUGAGGUCCCAGUCAAGUUAAGGAAUCGCACCUUCUGACUUUAUAACAGCAUUGCUUAAGAAAUUUGGCAGCAAGCAAACAUUGGUUCUGAGCCUGUCUCAUUGCGCUAGGUUGAUGUUUGUCUUUCUGCUUCACAUGUCUUGAGGGCUGCGCCUGGAUGCUUUAUCAUGCUUGGACCCAUGGAUACAGAAGUAAAGCAGCGGAAGCUUUCGGCUGUUACUAGAAAAAGAAGUGCCAAGCCAACUGAAAAUACUUGUCCUAAAGAGGAUGCUAAAAGCAGUGAAGAACUGCAUGGCAGCUCGGCAACAUAUGGU